This 414-nucleotide ribosomal RNA is filed under the name uncultured bacterium. RNAcentral describes it as "bacterial SSU rRNA". It matches the Rfam family "Bacterial small subunit ribosomal RNA", at positions 29 to 429 of the family's 1533-position model. The record is from RNAcentral.
AACGAACGCUGGCGGCGUGCCUAACACAUGCAAGUCGUGCGAGAAAGUUCCUUCGGGAGCGAGUAAAGCGGCGCACGGGUGAGUAACACGUAGGUAACCUGCCCCCAAGUCUGGAACAACUGGAGGAAACUCCAGCUAAUGCCGGAUGAGACCACGAUCCCCUCGGGGGUUGUGGCCAAAGAUGGCCUCUGCUUGCAAGCUAUCGCUCGGGGAUGGGCCUGCGGGCCAUUAGCUAGUUGGUGAGGUAACGGCUCACCAAGGCAGUGAUGGCUAGCUGGUCUGAGAGGAUGACCAGCCACACUGGGACUGAGACACGGCCCAGACUCCUACGGGAGGCAGCAGUGGGGAAUAUUGCGCAAUGGCGAAAGCCUGACGCAGCGACGCCGCGUGGGUGAUGAAGGCCUCGGUCGUAAG